GUGGGGAAUUUUCCGCAAUGGGCGAAAGCCUGACGGAGCAAUGCCGCGUGGAGGUAGAAGGCUCACGGGUCGUAAACUCCUUUUCUCAGAGAAGAUGCGAUGACGGUAUCUGAGGAAUAAGCAUCGGCUAACUCUGUGCCAGCAGCCGCGGUAAGACAGAGGAUGCAAGCGUUAUCCGGAAUGAUUGGGCGUAAAGCGUCUGUAGGUGGCUUUUCAAGUCCGCUGUCAAAUCCCAGGGCUCAACCCUGGACAGGCAGUGGAAACUAUCAAGCUGGAGUACGGUAGGGGCAGAGGGAAUUUCCGGUGGAGCGGUGAAAUGCGUAGAGAUCGGAAAGAACACCAAUAGCGAAAGCACUCUGCUGGGCCGACACUGACACUGAGAGACGAAAGCUAGGGGAGCAAAUGGG
RNAcentral lists this ribosomal RNA (407 nucleotides) under uncultured bacterium. RNAcentral's name for it is "bacterial SSU rRNA". It matches the Rfam family "Bacterial small subunit ribosomal RNA", at positions 354 to 776 of the family's 1533-position model. The record is from RNAcentral.